This is a small nuclear RNA of Erinaceus europaeus (western European hedgehog), 103 nucleotides long. NCBI's taxonomy places the organism in Eukaryota, Metazoa, Chordata, Mammalia, Eulipotyphla, Erinaceidae. The record is from Ensembl.
GUGUUUGCUACAGCAGCACAUAUACUAAAAUUGGAGUGGUACAGUGAUUAGCAUGGCCCCUGCACAAGGAUGACACACAACUUAAGAAGCACUCUAUAUUAAA